CAGUAGCCGCGGGAAUACAGAGGAUGCAAGCGUUAUCCGGAAUGAUUGGGCGUAAAGCGUCUGUAGGUGGCUUUUCAAGUCCGCCGUCAAAUCCCAGGGCUCAACCCUGGACGGGCGGUGGAAACUACCAAGCUGGAGUACGGUAGAGGCAGAGGGAAUUUCCAGUGGAGCGGUGAAAUGCGUUGAGAUCGGAAAGAACACCAACGGCGAAAGCACUCUGCUGGGCCGACACUGACACUGAGAGACGAAAGCUAGGGGAGCAAAUGGGAUUAGAUACCCCAGUAGUCCCUGUCUCUUAUAC
RNAcentral lists this ribosomal RNA (301 nucleotides) under uncultured bacterium. RNAcentral's name for it is "partial 16S ribosomal RNA". It matches the Rfam family "Bacterial small subunit ribosomal RNA", at positions 509 to 807 of the family's 1533-position model. The record is from RNAcentral.